UACGAAGGGGGCUAGCGUUGUUCGGAAUCACUGGGCGUAAAGGGUGCGCAGGCGGAUUUUUAAGUCAGGGGUGAAAUCCCGAGGCUCAACCUCGGAACUGCCUUUGAUACUGGGGAUCUUGAGUCCGGAAGAGGUGAGUGGAACUGCGAGUGUAGAGGUGAAAUUCGUAGAUAUUCGUAAGAACACCGGUGGCGAAGGCGGCUUACUGGUCCGGUUCUGACGCUGAGGCGCGAAAGCGUGGGGAGCAAACAGG
Molecule: ribosomal RNA, 253 nt
Filed under: uncultured bacterium
Lineage: Bacteria
Description: partial 16S ribosomal RNA
Rfam family: Bacterial small subunit ribosomal RNA
Source: RNAcentral